Molecule: unclassified non-coding RNA, 341 nt
Filed under: Crepidotus crocophyllus
Lineage: Eukaryota; Fungi; Basidiomycota; Agaricomycetes; Agaricales; Crepidotaceae
Description: partial internal transcribed spacer region
Rfam family: Eukaryotic small subunit ribosomal RNA (bases 1-46)
Source: RNAcentral
AAGUCGUAACAAGGUUUCCGUAGGUGAACCUGCGGAAGGAUCAUUAAUGGAAUAAACCUGGUGGACUGUCGCUGGCUCUCUUGAGAGCAUGUGCACGUCUGUCAUCUUUAUCUUUCCACCUGUGCACCUUUUGUAGACCUGGAAUGCUUAAUAUAUCAAUCUGAGGUCAACUCAGGCGUGAGGACUGUCGGCGUCGCAAGAUAUCGGCUUUCCUUGUAGCAUUCCAGGGACUAUGUUUUUCAUACACACUUUAAAAAUCUAAUAGAAUGUCGUUUUAAAAAAGGUCUUUGUACCUAUAUAAAACAAAUAUACAACUUUCAGCAACGGAUCUCUUGGCUCUC